GCAGUGGUUCGGUUUGUCGCUGGUCUUUUUCGAAAGAUCGGAGGAAAGUCCGGGCAACAGAGAGCAUCCUGCUUGUUAAUGGCAAGCUGUCCGUGAGGGUAGGUUAGCGUAGAAGAAAAUAACUGCCUAUUUUUCGCUUCAUUUUCGGAUGGAGUAAAAAAAAUAGGUGAGGGUGAGAAGGUGAGGUAAGAGCCCACCAGCAGCAUGGUGACAUGUCUGGCUGUACGCUUCGGGAGUUGAAAGUUCAUGUAAACCAGCGUUAUGAGGGCUGCUCGCUCCAGCUGGAGGGUAGAACGAUAGAGCUGUUGGGUGACCAUCGGCGUAGAUAAAUGACAAGCACUUGUUAUUGCGUCUUAACUUGUUAAGAUACGGAUGAUGAGUACAAAACCCGGCUCAUAGAGCCACUGCACAU
This 412-nucleotide RNase P RNA is filed under the name Bacteroidaceae bacterium. RNAcentral's name for it is "RNase P RNA component class A". It matches the Rfam family "Bacterial RNase P class A". Rfam says of the family: Ribonuclease P (RNase P) is a ubiquitous endoribonuclease, found in archaea, bacteria and eukarya as well as chloroplasts and mitochondria. Lineage: Bacteria; Pseudomonadati; Bacteroidota; Bacteroidia; Bacteroidales; Bacteroidaceae. The record is from RNAcentral.